CCUACGGGGUGCUGCAGUGAGGAAUAUUGGUCAAUGGACGAGAGUCUGAACCAGCCAAGUAGCGUGAAGGAUGACUGCCCUAUGGGUUGUAAACUUCUUUUAUAUGGGAAUAAAAUGUUCCACGUGUGGGAUUUUGUAUGUACCAUAUGAAUAAGGAUCGGCUAACUCCGUGCCAGCAGCCGCGGUAAUACGGAGGAUCCGAGCGUUAUCCGGAUUUAUUGGGUUUAAAGGGAGCGUAGGUGGAUUGUUAAGUCAGUUGUGAAAGUUUGCGGCUCAACCGUAAAAUUGCAGUUGAAACUGGCAGUCUUGAGUACAGGAGAGGUGGGCGGAAUUCGUGGUGUAGCGGUGAAAUGCUUAGAUAUCACGAAGAACUCCGAUUGCGAAGGCAGUUCACUGGACUGCAACUGACACUGAGGCUCGAAAGUGUGGGUAUCAAACAGGAUUAGAUACCCCUGUAGUC
RNAcentral lists this ribosomal RNA (460 nucleotides) under uncultured bacterium. RNAcentral's name for it is "partial 16S ribosomal RNA". It matches the Rfam family "Bacterial small subunit ribosomal RNA", at positions 338 to 795 of the family's 1533-position model. The record is from RNAcentral.